CUACGGGAGGCUGCAGUGGGGAAUAUUGCACAAUGGGCGCAAGCCUGAUGCAGCCAUGCCGCGUGUAUGAAGAAGGCCUUCGGGUUGUAAAGUACUUUCAGCGGGGAGGAAGGGAGUAAAGUUAAUACCUUUGCUCAUUGACGUUACCCGCAGAAGAAGCACCGGCUAACUCCGUGCCAGCAGCCGCGGUAAUACGGAGGGUGCAAGCGUUAAUCGGAAUUACUGGGCGUAAAGCGCACGCAGGCGGUUUGUUAAGUCAGAUGUGAAAUCCCCGGGCUCAACCUGGGAACUGCAUCUGAUACUGGCAAGCUCGAGUCUCGUAGAGGGGGGUAGAAUUCCAGGUGUAGCGGUGAAAUGCGUAGAGAUCUGGAGGAAUACCAGUGGCGAAGGCGGCCCCCUGGACGAAGACUGACGCUCAGGUGCGAAAGCGUGGGGAGCAAACAGGAUUAGAUACCCCUGUAGUC
This 464-nucleotide ribosomal RNA is filed under the name uncultured bacterium. Its description in RNAcentral is "partial 16S ribosomal RNA". It matches the Rfam family "Bacterial small subunit ribosomal RNA", at positions 339 to 795 of the family's 1533-position model. The record is from RNAcentral.